This 279-nucleotide ribosomal RNA is filed under the name uncultured bacterium. RNAcentral's name for it is "partial 16S ribosomal RNA". It matches the Rfam family "Bacterial small subunit ribosomal RNA", at positions 335 to 602 of the family's 1533-position model. The record is from RNAcentral.
ACUCCUACGGGAGGCAGCAGUGGGAAUAUUGCACAAUGGGCGCAAGCCUGAUGCAGCCAUGCCGCGUGUAUGAAGAAGGCCUUCGGGUUGUAAAGUACUUUCAGUUCGUGAGGAAGGUAGUGUAGUUAAAUAGCUGUAUUAUUUUGACGUUUAGCGACAGAAGAAGCACCGGCUAACUCCGUGCCAGCAGCCGCGGUAAUACGGAGGGUGCGAGCGUUAAUCGGAAUUACUGGGCGUAAAAGCGCAUGCAGGUGGUUUGUUAAGUCAGAUGUGAAAGCC